Molecule: ribosomal RNA, 326 nt
Filed under: uncultured bacterium
Lineage: Bacteria
Description: bacterial SSU rRNA
Rfam family: Bacterial small subunit ribosomal RNA
Source: RNAcentral
AAUGAACGCUGGCGGCGUGCUUAACACAUGCAAGUCGAACGAGAACGGAUCUGCUUGCAGAUCUCAGUAAAGUGGCGCACGGGUGAGUAACACGUGGAUAACCUACCUUAUGUUCCGGAACAACAUUGCGAAAGCGAUGCUAAUACUGGAUGAAGUUGUUUGGCCUUUGGGCCGUAUAAUAAAAGGGAGCCUCUCCUUGGAAGCCUCUGACAUAAGAUGGGUCCGCGGAUCAUUAGUUAGAUGGUGGGGUAACGGCCUACCAUGACUACGAUGAUUAGCUGGUCUGAGAGGAUGAUCAGCCACACUGGAACUGACACACGGUCCAG